GAUGAACGCUGGCGGCGUGCUUAACACAUGCAAGUCGAACGAUGAAGCCCAGCUUGCUUGGUGUAUUGGUGGCGAACUGGUGGAUAACACGGGAGUAACCUGCCCUUUACUCUAUGAUAAGCCCGGGAGACGGGGUCUUAUACUGAAUAGGAACUUCUACCUCAUGGUGUGUGUUGGAAAGAAUUUCGGUAAUGGCUGGACUCUCGGCCUAUCAGCUUUUUGGUGGGUUAAUGGCUAACCAACGCGACGAGGGGUAGUCGGCCUGAGAGGGUGAACGGUCACCCUGGGACUGCGACACGGCCCAGAGUGCUACGGGAGGCAGCAGUGGGGAGUAUUGUACAACGGGAGAAAGCCUGAUGAAGAGACGCCGCGUGUGGGAUGACGGUCUUUGGGUUGAAAAACUCUUCAGGUAAGGAAGCAGCGAAAGUGACGGUACCUGAAGAAGAAGCACCGGCUAACUACGUG
This 465-nucleotide ribosomal RNA is filed under the name uncultured bacterium. RNAcentral describes it as "partial 16S ribosomal RNA". It matches the Rfam family "Bacterial small subunit ribosomal RNA", at positions 28 to 507 of the family's 1533-position model. The record is from RNAcentral.